RNAcentral lists this long non-coding RNA (842 nucleotides) under Volvox carteri. RNAcentral's name for it is "long non-coding RNA (VCAR_LNC000989)". Lineage: Eukaryota; Viridiplantae; Chlorophyta; Chlorophyceae; Chlamydomonadales; Volvocaceae. The record is from RNAcentral.
CGUCGUUGGAGGCCGAGUACCAAGCUACAGCGGCGGCUGUUCGUGAAGCUUUGUGGCUUCGCAAGCUGAUGGUCGAUUUGGGCUUGCCUGAUAGCGCGGUGAAAAUCCAGAUAGACUCCCAGGGGGCGCUUAGCUUGGGAAAUAAUCCGAUUACGUCUGCUCGGUCGAAGCACAUCGACGUGCAGCACCACAUAGUGCGUGAGAGGGUGAAUGAGGGGAGGUGCAGUUGGAGUACUGCCCUACAGAGUGGAUGGUAGCGGAUGCGCUCACGAAGGCACUGGGAGAAGUGAAGUUCAAACAGUGCAGAGAAGCUAUGGGCGUUGUGUGAAGUGCCCAUUGGCGGGGCAAAUGUGCUGCUGCGAGUUGGGAUAUGUCCCGAGGGGGCGUGUUGAAGGACGGUCCUAUCCCAACGUAGAUAGGUGGUAGUUAGGCGAUGAAUCCGCCGUGAUAGGCGAUGCCUCGGCCGUGCCUCGACCUUGCCUAGGCCGUGCCUCAACCUUGCCUCGGCCGUGCCUCGACCUUGCCUCGGGUCUCUCGGCCGCAUAUCUCGGUCGUGUCCUCAGGUCCAGGGAUGGUGGAAGACUGUACAAUACUUCCGUUGGUAUCGGUACAUAAGGCAAAAGUUAAGCAAGUCUUUCUAUCUCAUCUUCGGAUGGAUCGGUAUUUCUUCAUAGGAAUCUCCUAAAGUCUUCUUGCCGUUCACCACUAACCCACAGACUGUAACCCUUAUAUCGCGACCAGUCUCCUUGCCUUCAUAUUCUUAACAGGUUAUGAGCCCCGGCUCACGCUAGUAGCUUACAUAGCUAACGCAAAGAAGGCAUAGCACGCCUGCAAGCAACUAC